UACGUAGGGUGCGAGCGUUAAUCGGAAUUACUGGGCGUAAAGUGUGCGCAGGCGGCUUCGCAAGUCGAGUGUGAAAUCCCCGAGCUUAACUUGGGAAUUGCGCUCGAAACUACGGAGCUGGAGUGUGGCAGAGGAAGGUGGAAUUCCACGUGUAGCGGUGAAAUGCGUAGAGAUGUGGAGGAACACCGAUGGCGAAGGCAGCCUUCUGGGCCAACACUGACGCUCAUGCACGAAGGCGUGGGGAGCAAACAGG
RNAcentral lists this ribosomal RNA (253 nucleotides) under uncultured bacterium. Its description in RNAcentral is "partial 16S ribosomal RNA". It matches the Rfam family "Bacterial small subunit ribosomal RNA", at positions 524 to 776 of the family's 1533-position model. The record is from RNAcentral.